RNAcentral lists this ribosomal RNA (467 nucleotides) under uncultured bacterium. Its description in RNAcentral is "partial 16S ribosomal RNA". It matches the Rfam family "Bacterial small subunit ribosomal RNA", at positions 29 to 507 of the family's 1533-position model. The record is from RNAcentral.
ACGAACGCUGGCGGCGCGCCUAACACAUGCAAGUCGAACGGAGCUGAGAGAAGCUUGCUUUUCUUAGCUUAGUGGCGAACGGGUGAGUAACGCGUGAGUAACCUGCCCUGGAGUGGGGGACAACAGUUGGAAACGACUGCUAAUACCGCAUAAGCCCACGAUCCGGCAUCGGAUUGAGGGAAAAGGAUUUAUUCGCUUCAGGAUGGACUCGCGUCCAAUUAGCUAGUUGGUGAGGUAACGGCCCACCAAGGCGACGAUUGGUAGCCGGACUGAGAGGUUGAACGGCCACAUUGGGACUGAGACACGGCCCAGACUCCUACGGGAGGCAGCAGUGGGGGAUAUUGCACAAUGAGGGAAACCCUGAUGCAGCGACGCCGCGUGGAGGAAGAAGGUUUUCGGAUUGUAAACUCCUGUCGUUAGGGACGAUAAUGACGGUACCUAACAAGAAAGCACCGGCUAACUACGUG